GGUACGAUGCGCCUGGUCCACGGUCGAAAGAUCGCGCGUAUUGGAGCGUAUCUGCCAUCCUUCUAGUUAACUGGCUGUACUUAACUGUGUGGUCAGCGAUCUAGAUCAUUUACUUUGAAAAAAUUAGAGUGUUUAAAGCAGGCUCGCGCAUUGAAUACAUUAGCAUGGAAUAAUAAUUUAGGACUUUGCUCUUAUUUUAUUGGUUUCUAGGGGUAAAGUA
Molecule: ribosomal RNA, 220 nt
Filed under: uncultured fungus
Lineage: Eukaryota; Fungi
Description: partial small subunit ribosomal RNA
Rfam family: Eukaryotic small subunit ribosomal RNA (bases 76-220)
Source: RNAcentral